GAUGAACGCUAGCGGCAGGCCUAAUACAUGCAAGUCGAACGGGUUGGUUCAGCAAUGGACCAAUCAGUGGCGCACGGGUGCGUAACGCGUAUGCAACCUACCUUAAACUGGGGGAUAGCCUUCCGAAAAGGGAGAUUAAUACCGCAUAAGACUAUUUGAUGGCAUCUGAAGAUAGUUAAAGAUUUUAUUGGUUUAAGAUGGGCAUGCGUGCCAUUAGCUAGUUGGAGUGUAACGGACUA
RNAcentral lists this ribosomal RNA (239 nucleotides) under uncultured bacterium. RNAcentral describes it as "partial 16S ribosomal RNA". It matches the Rfam family "Bacterial small subunit ribosomal RNA", at positions 28 to 267 of the family's 1533-position model. The record is from RNAcentral.